UAGGGAAUCUUCGGCAAUGGACGAAAGUCUGACCGAGCAACGCCGCGUGAGUGAAGAAGGUUUUCGGAUCGUAAAGCUCUGUUGUUAAAGAAGAACACGUAUGAGAGUAACUGUUCAUACGUUGACGGUAUUUAACCAGAAAGUCACGGCUAACUACGUGUCAG
This 164-nucleotide ribosomal RNA is filed under the name uncultured bacterium. RNAcentral's name for it is "partial 16S ribosomal RNA". It matches the Rfam family "Bacterial small subunit ribosomal RNA", at positions 355 to 511 of the family's 1533-position model. The record is from RNAcentral.